CCUACGGGCGGCAGCAGUGGGGAAUAUUGGACAAUGGGCGAAAGCCUGAACCAGCCAUGCCGCGUGUGUGAAGAAGGCCUUCGGGUUGUAAAGCACUUUCAGUGGGGAAGAAAGCCUUGGGGCUAAUACCCUCGAGGAAGGACAUCACCCACAGAAGAAGCACCGGCUAACUCCGUGCCAGCAGCCGCGGUAAUACGGAGGGUGCGAGCGUUAAUCGGAAUUACUGGGCGUAAAGCGCGCGUAGGCGGUCUGAUAAGCCGGUUGUGAAAGCCCCGGGCUCAACCUGGGAACGGCAUCCGGAACUGUCAGGCUAGAGUGCAGGAGAGGAAGGUAGAAUUCCCGGUGCAGCGGUGAAAUGCGUAGAGAUCGGGAGGAAUACCAGUGGCGAAGGCGGCCUUCUGGACUGACACUGACGCUGAGGUGCGAAAGCGUGGGUAGCAAACAGGAUUAGAUACCCGGUAGUC
This 464-nucleotide ribosomal RNA is filed under the name Vreelandella stevensii. RNAcentral's name for it is "partial 16S ribosomal RNA". It matches the Rfam family "Bacterial small subunit ribosomal RNA", at positions 338 to 795 of the family's 1533-position model. The record is from RNAcentral. Lineage: Bacteria; Pseudomonadati; Pseudomonadota; Gammaproteobacteria; Oceanospirillales; Halomonadaceae.